This 875-nucleotide ribosomal RNA is filed under the name uncultured eukaryote. Its description in RNAcentral is "SSU rRNA". It matches the Rfam family "Eukaryotic small subunit ribosomal RNA", at positions 564 to 1473 of the family's 1831-position model. The record is from RNAcentral.
GUGCCAAGCAGCCGCGGUAAUUCCAGCUCUAAUAGCGUAUAUUAAAGUUGUUGCAGUUAAAAAGCUCGUAGUUGGAUUUUGGUGUCGGACAGGCGGUCGGCUUUUGUCGUACUGCCCUUCUGACGCCUUCCUUCUGUGGACUGCGUCACUCUUAACUGAGGGGCGUGUGGACGCAGAUCGUUUACUGUGAGUAAAUUAGAGUGUUCAAAGCAGGCCUUACGCUUGAAUACAUUAGCAUGGAAUAAUAGAAUAGGACGUCGGGCCUAUUUUGUUGGUUUAGGGACCGUCGCAAUGAUUAAUAGGGACAGUUGGGGCCGUUCAUAUUCCGUAGUCAGAGGUGAAAUUCUUGGAUUUACGGAAGAUGAACUACUGCGAAAGCAUUCGGCAAGGAUGUUUUCGUUAAUCAAGAACGAAAGUUAGGGGAUCGAAGACGAUCAGAUACCGUCGUAGUCUUAACCAUAAACUAUGCCGACUCGGGAUCAGCAAGUGUCGUUCACGACCUCGCUGGCACCGUGUGAGAAAUCAAAGUCUUUGGGUUCCGGGGGGAGUAUGGUCGCAAGGCUGAAACUUAAAGGAAUUGACGGAAGGGCACCACCAGGAGUGGAGCCUGCGGCUUAAUUUGACUCAACACGGGGAAACUCACCAGGUCCAGACAUAGCGAGGAUUGACAGAUUGACAGCUCUUUCUUGAUUCUAUGGGUGGUGGUGCAUGGCCGUUCUUAGUUGGUGGAGUGAUUUGUCUGGUUAAUUCCGAUAACGAACGAGACCUCAGCCUACUAAAUAGUAACGCCUGCUUCGGCAGGUGGAUUACUUCUUAGAGGGACUUUUCGAGUCAUCGAAAGGAAGUUUGAGGCAAUAACAGGUCUGUGAUGCCCA